Molecule: ribosomal RNA, 405 nt
Filed under: uncultured bacterium
Lineage: Bacteria
Description: bacterial SSU rRNA
Rfam family: Bacterial small subunit ribosomal RNA
Source: RNAcentral
CAAGGAAUAUUGCGCAAUGGGCGAAAGCCUGACGCAGCGACGUCGCGUGGGGGAUGAAGGUCUUCGGAUCGUAAACCCCUUUUCUCAGGGAAGAAUAAUGACGGUACCUGAGGAAUAAGUCUCGGCUAACUACGUGCCAGCAGCCGCGGUAAUACGUAGGAGGCGAGCGUUAUCCGGAUUUACUGGGCGUAAAGAGGGCGUAGGCGGCCUUUCAAGUCGGAUGUAAAAUCUCCCGGCUCAACUGGGAGGGCGCAUUCGAUACUGUUAGACUUGAGGGCAGCAGAGGAAAGCGGAAUUCCCGGUGUAGUGGUGAAAUGCGUAGAUAUCGGGAGGAACACCAGUGGCGAAGGCGGCUUUCUGGGCUGCAUCUGACGCUGAGGCCCGAAAGCGUGGGGAGCGAACAGG